Molecule: long non-coding RNA, 951 nt
Filed under: Olea europaea subsp. europaea
Lineage: Eukaryota; Viridiplantae; Streptophyta; Magnoliopsida; Lamiales; Oleaceae
Source: RNAcentral
AAUGAAGGGAGCAAAAUCUAUGGAAGACGUCUCUUGCUGUGAAGAAAUCCCAAAUUGGAAACACAUCUGUACUGCCCUUCGUAUUUUCACCAUAUCUCCCUCAUCUGAUGUCGUAUUGAGCUGAUUCAAGAGGUUUUGGAAAGGUAAUUUAACUUUCUAUAAUUUCUCCUCAAAUAGAGAUUUUGAAAUUCUCACGUUUUCUAAGUGAAAAACGGCCCACAAUCCAAGGCUAAAAAUCUGCCGAAUUGAAGAGGCGAAUUCAGGAUUGAUUCUUUCUUUUCCUAGUGAAGAUGGCUUGAAAGGAGUGGAAGAGGAGGAAAAAAAAAAUAGAGGACGGCCAAGAAGGCUGGGACCAAGGUGGAUCGAUUCUUUUUCCUCCCUUUUGGCUAUCAAAGGAGGGAAGCCAUUCCAAGAAAACGGGAGACCAGAUUCACUGAGUUUUUCCUUCUUCCCAUCUCUUUCAAUUUCUUGAUGUUAACUCUUUAUUUAAACUUUUCUUCAAUUUUAGCAUGAAUUAAUUUCUAUCUUCUAGAGUUUGAGAUGUAGCCUAACUACGAUUAUGUGAAUCUUCCUUAACUUGAAUUAAUUGAUAUUUGUUCCAAUUGUUGAAUAUUUCAUUCUGAACUUAAUGCUUGUGAAUUGACUGAUCACCAUUCACUUGAGUUGGGAUUCAAUUUGAGACAGAGAAGUAAUAAUUGUUUCAGCCAAUGUUUUAGAUACCGCAGGAAUUCUGUAGGAUAGAGAUAUCUAUGGACUUGUGUAAUCUUUAUGGGUUUAUUUUUGUUCUUAAUGAAUCUUGACAGGCUUAGAAUUUUCACAGAAAUGUAGAAAAUUUUCUUGUUGAGAUAUUUCGUUAAUGCUUGAGAAAGAUUAAUGAAUAAAUUAGAAAGACUUGAUUAUCAACAAUUAGGAACACUUAAAAUUAAUUCAAUUAGGAUAUUUACAUAUGAG